GGUUAAGCGACUAAGCGUACACGGUGGAUGCCCUGGCAGUCAGAGGCGAUGAAGGACGUGCUAAUCUGCGAUAAGCGUCGGUAAGGUGAUAUGAACCGUUAUAACCGGCGAUUUCCGAAUGGGGAAACCCAGUGUGAUUCGUCACACUAUCAUUAACUGAAUCCAUAGGUUAAUGAGGCGAACCGGGGGAACUGAAACAUCUAAGUACCCCGAGGAAAAGAAAUCAACCGAGAUUCCCCCAGUAGCGGCGAGCGAACGGGGAGCAGCCCAGAGCCUGAAUCAGUGUGUGUGUUAGUGGAAGCGUCUGGAAAGGCGCGCGAUACAGGGUGACAGCCCCGUACACAAAAAUGCACAUGCUGUGAGCUCGAUGAGUAGGGCGGGACACGUGGUAUCCUGUCUGAAUAUGGGGGGACCAUCCUCCAAGGCUAAAUACUCCUGACUGACCGAUAGUGAACCAGUACCGUGAGGGAAAGGCGAAAAGAACCCCGGCGAGGGGAGUGAAAAAGAACCUGAAACCGUGUACGUACAAGCAGUGGGAGCACGCUUAGGCGUGUGACUGCGUACCUUUUGUAUAAUGGGUCAGCGACUUAUAUUCUGUAGCAAGGUUAACCGAAUAGGGGAGCCGAAGGGAAACCGAGUCUUAACUGGGCGUUAAGUUGCAGGGUAUAGACCCGAAACCCGGUGAUCUAGCCAUGGGCAGGUUGAAGGUUGGGUAACACUAACUGGAGGACCGAACCGACUAAUGUUGAAAAAUUAGCGGAUGACUUGUGGCUGGGGGUGAAAGGCCAAUCAAACCGGGAGAUAGCUGGUUCUCCCCGAAAGCUAUUUAGGUAGCGCCUCGUGAAUUCAUCUCCGGGGGUAGAGCACUGUUUCGGCAAGGGGGUCAUCCCGACUUACCAACCCGAUGCAAACUGCGAAUACCGGAGAAUGUUAUCACGGGAGACACACGGCGGGUGCUAACGUCCGUCGUGAAGAGGGAAACAACCCAGACCGCCAGCUAAGGUCCCAAAGUCAUGGUUAAGUGGGAAACGAUGUGGGAAGGCCCAGACAGCCAGGAUGUUGGCUUAGAAGCAGCCAUCAUU
This 1082-nucleotide ribosomal RNA is filed under the name Escherichia coli. RNAcentral's name for it is "partial 23S ribosomal RNA". It matches the Rfam family "Bacterial large subunit ribosomal RNA", at positions 1 to 1123 of the family's 2925-position model. The record is from RNAcentral. Lineage: Bacteria; Pseudomonadati; Pseudomonadota; Gammaproteobacteria; Enterobacterales; Enterobacteriaceae.